UGCAAGUCGAACGAUGAACCACUUCGGUGGGGAUUAGUGGCGAACGGGUGCCUAACACGUGGGCAAUCUGCCCUUCACUCUGGGACAAGCCCUGGAAACGGGGUCUAAUACCGGAUACAACCACCGGCCGCAUGGUCUGGUGGUGGAAAGCUCCGGCGGUGAAGGAUGAGCCCGCGGCCUAUCAGCUUGUUGGUGAGGUAACGGCUCACCAAGGCGACGACGGGUAGCCGGCCUGAGAGGGCGACCGGCCACACUGGGACUGAGACACGGCCCAGACUCCUACGGGAGGCAGCAGUGGGGAAUAUUGCACAAUGGGCGAAAGCCUGAUGCAGCGACGCCGCGUGAGGGAUGACGGCCUUCGGGUUGUAAACCUCUUUCAGCAGGGAAGAAGCGAAAGUGACGGUACCUGCAGAAGAAGCGCCGGCUAACUACGUGCCAGCAGCCGCGGUAAUACGUAGGGCGCGAGCGUUGUCCGGAAUUAUUGGGCGUAAAGAGCUCGUAGGCGGUCUGUCGCGUCGGAUGUGAAAGCCCGGGGCUUAACCCCGGGUCUGCAUUCGAUACGGGCAGACUAGAGUGUGGUAGGGGAGAUCGGAAUUCCUGGUGUAGCGGUGAAAUGCGCAGAUAUCAGGAGGAACACCGGUGGCGAAGGCGGAUCUCUGGGCCAUUACUGACGCUGAGGAGCGAAAGCGUGGGGAGCGAACAGGAUUAGAUACCCUGGUAGUCCACGCCGUAAACGGUGGGAACUAGGUGUUGGCGACAUUCCACGUCGUCGGUGCCGCAGCUAACGCAUUAAGUUCCCCGCCUGGGGAGUACGGCCGCAAGGCUAAAACUCAAAGGAAUUGAC
RNAcentral lists this ribosomal RNA (844 nucleotides) under Streptomyces diastatochromogenes. RNAcentral's name for it is "bacterial SSU rRNA". It matches the Rfam family "Bacterial small subunit ribosomal RNA", at positions 56 to 914 of the family's 1533-position model. Lineage: Bacteria; Bacillati; Actinomycetota; Actinomycetes; Kitasatosporales; Streptomycetaceae. The record is from RNAcentral.